AUAAUUAGCAAUACUCACUUAGACUUAUAUAUCAUUUCAUAGUGCUUUACAGCCCUCUCCAAACUGUUUACAGCAUCAACAUAUUGCUUCCAACAAUCUGGCUCCUCAUUUUACCAACCUCAGAAGGAUGGAAGGCUGAGUCAACAUUUAACCUGGUGAAAUUCGAACUGCAAGCAGCCGGCAAGUAGCAGAAGUCUCAUAGCUAAGAUGCAACAGGAGAUUGUACAUGGCUGUUGUGCCAGUCCUCUUCUCGGUACAUUGUGAUCCUCUCCAUUAGGAGACUCCAGAGAAGUUCAACCCAGAUCACUUUUUGGAUGAAAAGGGCCAAUUCAGGAAAAGAGAUGCUUUCAUGCCAUUCUCAGCAGGGAAGAUGGCUUGUCCAGGAGAGGCCCUGGCUAGGAUGGAGCUCUUCCUGUUCUUCAGCACCUUGCUCCAGAAGUUUACCUUCUAUCUGUCAGAUCAAAAGUAGCUUGCAGUACUGCAUUCUAAGCACUGCACCACCAUGACUCAUUAUUCCAUAUGACAUGGCAUUGAGACAAACAUUCUGAAGCUAUAGUAUCUGCCAUCAUUUCAAAGUAUAUCCGGCUGCCUGUGAAUAAGGACUAUGAAAUUCUGUCAGCCUGAUAUGUCAACAGAAGUCCUGUAGGAAGCUAUGGAGUGCAACAACUAGGGAAAAUUAUAUUGAUUUUAACAGGGCUUGCUGUCAAGAAAACAUUCUAUCUUUGGAGGGUUUUUUAACCCUCUAGGUUUGGUAAUAUUUUAGACCAGGGAUCACCAACCUUUUGGA
Non-coding RNA from Pseudonaja textilis, 787 nucleotides. The record is from RefSeq and is a predicted model, not a curated record. Lineage: Eukaryota; Metazoa; Chordata; Lepidosauria; Squamata; Elapidae.